AUCCAUAGCUAGGGGUGCCUGAGCAACCAGGCUGAGAUUACACCCUUUGCACCUGAGUCCGGUUAAUACCGGCGGAGGGAAGCUCUUAAUAGAGGGA
Molecule: non-coding RNA, 97 nt
Filed under: Microcoleus sp.
Lineage: Bacteria; Bacillati; Cyanobacteriota; Cyanophyceae; Oscillatoriales; Microcoleaceae
Also listed under: 1 other name
Description: TPP sequence
Rfam family: TPP riboswitch aptamer (THI element)
About the family: Vitamin B(1) in its active form thiamin pyrophosphate (TPP) is an essential coenzyme that is synthesised by coupling of pyrimidine and thiazole moieties in bacteria.
Source: RNAcentral